UCGGAUUAGAUGGCAACAUUUAUGAUAGCCUAUUAGGAGGAUUAUGACUUAUCAUAAAUGUCAUUAGCUCCUUCUUCAGAUUUGGCUCUUCCUAUUUAAGGCUGACGACAAACUUGACAACUUAUCAGCUUCGUGACGGCCAAUCACAAAAUAUCGUCAAAGCUCUGCUUCAGUUCUCCUGUGCUGCCUCUGGCUAACAAUAUUCUUGAUAGCUUAUCAGACUCUUGAUGACUUCUCACAAAAUGUCAUCACAUCUUUCAACUUAGGCCAAUUCUCUAUUUACUACUGACGACAAACUUGAUAACUUAUCACAGGGCUGGCGACUUAUCACAAAUGUCGUCAGCCAUACUUGUCUUUAGAUUUCUUUAGAUUUCAACUUCUUUGCUUCCAUUCUUGUUGGUUCUCUAUCAUAUCAGCUUAAACUGUAAAAUCAAACAUAAACCAAUCAAAAACGACAAAAGUGUCUUAAGACUUCACAAUUAUUCUUAGUUAAAAGCCUCAAAUGUGUUAGCAUUAGCUCACACAUCAAUAAUUUUCAGAUUUUAAGGGAUGCAAUCCCAACAUUAGUUGGUCUAACCAACUUACAUGAGAACAAGUAACAUUAAAAGUAAUGGAGAAUUUUCUAAUUCUUCAAUAUAUGUUUAAUAUUUAAAAUGCACAUCUUCGAGAUGUCACAAUCAUUUCUGUCAACUUAUGAAUUUAUUUGUACUAGUAAACUUCAAGUUUACCAUGACAUGUGCAUUUUACUUUAGUAAAUUUCAAAUUUACUAUUACAUGAAUAAAAUUCAUAUUUACUACUUUAGAAGUAGAUUUCAAAAUAACUCUUCUCAAUUAUCCAGCCUUUUUCGGAGGUGAGUUGUGAUACCAUCAUAAUCAAGUGCAUGUUUGCAUUAAUAAGCUUCUCAUUCCCAAGAAAUGAAAGAUAAUGUGCCUUAAGCCUAUUGAAUUAUGAUAGCUUAUACCCUCUUUUAAGAUAUUGCUAAUUCAGGAGAAAAUCGAGGCAUACAUAUAGUUGUGGAGAAAUUUUCUCUUACAUAUCUUUAAUUAUAAUUACAAUAAGUAUGUGAAAAUAUUAUCACUUGUCUUCUUUAAGACAUAUUAUGCAUUACUACCACAUUCAUUUCAAGAAUGGAGUAAGUUGUCAACUUUAAGAUUCAUCAUAUAUUGCUACCAUAUUCAUUUCAUGGGGCAUAUCAAUGGGAUAUCAUGAUUUUUCAUCAAAUAUUGCCUCAACCAUCAUAAUAUAAUCAAUAUGGUAUAUUGAGGCAAUUCAAACUCAAUAUCUUACCAUAUAAAGGUGUUUUAAGCAUAAAUCGAUGGUACUUCAACCCAACAUUUUUCAUCAUGGUGAUCGAGAUUCUAUCUCAAUGUUUUACCCUUUAAUGCGAUGAGAUUUAAAUUAUCUCAUCCUUAACCAAUAUUACAAUAAGUCAAAUUCACCGAUAACUCAACAUCAAACUUUCAAAAUUAUUGUCACUUUCUAAUGGAAAUGUGUAAACAUAUUAAAUAUGACAAAAAUAUUAUUAAAAAAAAACUUCGACAAAUAUAAAACUAACAAUGGUGGCUCAUAAAAAAUAAGGCCCAUUGACAUUUAGCGUGACUACUCAAAUUCCAUUGAUAACUAAUACCACUUUAAAGAAUUAUGGACAUAAGCAAAUUAAAUAAAAAAAAGACCUUAAUUAUACUUGGAAUGUCAUAUCAAAGGUAUAUCUUACUUGAGAUGGUAAUGAAUAUUGCUUCUUGUAGGUUCAAGUAAUUAAUAUAAGAUAUUAUUUAAUAAUAAUAAAAUAAAUCAUACCUCACGUUUGUUAAGCAACCGAUGGAAAAUAUUAUGUGACUUUACCUUAAUUACUCAGUUGUUACUGCUUCGUGCUACUCAGUUGUUACAGCUUCAUGCUGAUAACGUGUUAUAAAAUAAUAAAGAAUAAAGAAGAAGAGUAGAGAGAAAAUAAAUAAUAAUUCUUAUUUCUCUUAAGGAAUG
Molecule: long non-coding RNA, 1981 nt
Filed under: Capsicum annuum
Lineage: Eukaryota; Viridiplantae; Streptophyta; Magnoliopsida; Solanales; Solanaceae
Description: long non-coding RNA (CANN_LNC019233)
Source: RNAcentral